AGCGGCGGACGGGUGAGUAACACGUGGGUAACCUGCCCAAGAGACUGGGAUAACACCUGGAAACAGAUGCUAAUACCGGAUAACAACACUAGACGCAUGUCUAGAGUUUAAAAGAUGGUUCUGCUAUCACUCUUGGAUGGACCUGCGGUGCAUUAGCUAGUUGGUAAGGUAACGGCUUACCAAGGCAAUGAUGCAUAGCCGAGUUGAGAGACUGAUCGGCCACAUUGGGACUGAGACACGGUCCAGACUCCUACGGGAGGCAGCAGUGAGGAAUAUUGGUCAAUGGGCGCAAGCCUGAACCAGCCAAGUCGCGUGAGGGAAGACGGCCCUACGGGUUGUAAACCUCUUUUGCCGGGGAGCAAGCCUGAGCACGUGUGCCCAGGCGGAGAGUACCCGGAGAAAAAGCAUCGGCUAACUCCGUGCCAGCAGCCGCGGUAAUACGGAGGAUGCGAGCGUUAUCCGGAUUUAUUGGGUUUAAAGGGUGCGCAGGCGGUCUGUUAAGUCAGCGGUCAAAGCCCGGGGCUCAACCCCGGCCCGCCGUUGAAACUGGCAGUCUCGAGUUGGAGAGAAGUAUGCGGAAUGCGCGGUGUAGCGGUGAAAUGCAUAGAUNUCGCGCAAAACUCCGAUUGCGAAGGCAGCAUGCCNGCUCCACACUGACNCUUAGGCACGAAGCGUGGUNUCGAAAGGAUUAAAUACCUGGUA
This 702-nucleotide ribosomal RNA is filed under the name uncultured bacterium. RNAcentral describes it as "bacterial SSU rRNA". It matches the Rfam family "Bacterial small subunit ribosomal RNA", at positions 94 to 792 of the family's 1533-position model. The record is from RNAcentral.